GAUGAACGCUGGCGGCGUGCCUAACACAUGCAAGUCGAACGGAAAGACGAAGAGGUUUGCUUCUUGACGUUAGCGGGGCGGGCGGGUGUAACAUGUGUAUGACACACCUAUAUGGCGGGGAAAACUUAGUGAAACCGGUGCCUAUACCCGAUUAUCUUUGCAAGAGCAUGGUUGAGGAGUGUAAGACGGUUUUGCUUUCACUUAUAGCUGAUUCCGCGCGGCAUUAGCUAGUUGGUAGGGUAACGGCUUACCUAGGCCACGAUUCGUAGCUGAGCUGAGAGGGUGAUCGGCCACACUGGAACUGAGACACGGUCCAGACUCCUACGGGAGGCAGCAGUGGGGAAUCUUGCGCAAUGGGCGAAAGCCUGACGCAGCAACGCCGCGUGUGUGAAGAAGGUCUUCGGAUCGUAAAGUUCUGUUAGUGGGGAGGAACGAAUUAAAGUGUAUACAUGUGCGUAUUGACGGUACCUGAAGAAGAAGCACCGGCUAACUCCGUG
This 497-nucleotide ribosomal RNA is filed under the name uncultured bacterium. RNAcentral's name for it is "partial 16S ribosomal RNA". It matches the Rfam family "Bacterial small subunit ribosomal RNA", at positions 28 to 507 of the family's 1533-position model. The record is from RNAcentral.